Molecule: non-coding RNA, 30 nt
Filed under: Mus musculus (house mouse)
Lineage: Eukaryota; Metazoa; Chordata; Mammalia; Rodentia; Muridae
Source: RNAcentral
UGCAGUUUUUAGUAAACCAGGGCAUCUAGA